Molecule: ribosomal RNA, 1173 nt
Filed under: Tolypiocladia glomerulata
Lineage: Eukaryota; Rhodophyta; Florideophyceae; Ceramiales; Rhodomelaceae
Description: SSU rRNA
Rfam family: Eukaryotic small subunit ribosomal RNA
Source: RNAcentral
UACAACGAAACUGCGAAUGGCUCGGUAAAACAGCAAUAAUUUCUUCGAGGAUAAUACUACCGGAUAACCGUAGUAAAGCUAGAGCUAAUACGUUCCAUUGCAGCGCGAGUAAUCCGCUCGUGGUACUAAGUAUUAGGUACAACCCAGAUUUUUCUGGUGAUUCAUACUUAUCUUCUGAUCGAACUUCGUGUUCGACGCCUCGAUUAAAUUUCUGACCUAUCAACUAUGAUGGUAAGGUAGGGUCUUACCAUGGUUGUGACGGGUAACGGACCGUGGGUGCGGGAUUCCGGAGAGGGAGCCUGAGAAACGGCUACCACAUCCAAGGAAGGCAGCAGGCGCGCAACUUACCCAAUCCGAACUUCGGGAGGUAGUGACAAAAAAUAUCAAUAGGGGGACCAAUGGUCUUCCUAAUUGGAAUGAAAACAAUGUAAACACCUUAUUGAGGAACCAGCAGAGGGCAAGUCUGGUGCCAGCAGCCGCGGUAAUUCCAGCUCUGUAAGCGUAUACCAAAGUUGUUGCAGUUAAAACGCUCGUAGUCGGAUUUUGGCGUGGUGCUUCUGAGACCCCUGCUUGGGUGUUGACGGUAGUCCCGCCUUUGUGGAUGAGGGCGUGGUGGUGCUUUGUUGCAUUGCUGCGUUUUCGCCACUGUUUACUGUGAAAAAAUUAGAGUGUUCAAAGCGAGCGAUUGCCAUGAAUAUAUUAGCAUGGAAUAAUAGAAUAGGACCUGAUCCUGUUUUGUUGGUUUGUCAGUAUUAGGUAAUGAUUAAGAGGGACGGUCGGGGGCAUUUGUAUUCCAGGGUUAGAGGUGAAAUUCUUGGAUCCUUGGAAGACAAACAGCUGCGAAAGCGUCUGCCAAGGACGUUUUCAUUGAUCAAGAACGAAAGUAAGGGGAUCGAAGACGAUCAGAUACCGUCGUAGUCUUUACCAUAAACUAUGUGAAUUGGGGAUCAGCCGAGGCCCUUUUUUGGUUCGGUUGGCACCCUCCGGGAAACCAAAAUUUUUGCAUUCUGGGGGGAGUAUGGUCGCAAGUCUGAAACUUAAAGGAAUUGACGGAAGGGCAUCACCGGGUGUGGAGCCUGCGGCUUAAUUUGACUCAACACGGGAAAACUUACCAGGUCCAGACAUAAUAAGGAUUGACAGAUUGAGAGCUCUUUCUUGAUUCUAUGGUUGGUG